GGAGCAGCUCCGAUUUCCCCUAGUUAGAACUUGUCAGGCCGACGCGUUUCAUUAUGGCGUCUUCUCGCAUUAUUUUACAAGACAAACAUAAAAUGGAAGAAAAGGGACAAAACGUUCCAGAGUGAAAUCCUCUGACAGAUGACAUAAAUCCUGCUCCGCUCUUCAUCUUCAUCUCCAAACGGCUCCGUCCGGAGGAUCCGCCUGCGCCUGCAGCGCGGCGAUGGACGGCGCUGCAGCGUCUGAGGCAUCCUCUCUGCUCUGCAGCUCAUGGAUUCCUGUUUGUCUCCGACGUUCAGGCCUCUCCUGCAUGCUUCUUGUGCAGCAGCUGCAGG
Molecule: long non-coding RNA, 332 nt
Organism: Xiphophorus hellerii (green swordtail)
Lineage: Eukaryota; Metazoa; Chordata; Actinopteri; Cyprinodontiformes; Poeciliidae
Exons: 2
Source: RefSeq, a predicted model, not a curated record